RNAcentral lists this transfer RNA (74 nucleotides) under Thalassobacillus devorans. RNAcentral's name for it is "tRNA-Arg". It matches the Rfam family "tRNA". From Rfam's summary of the family: Transfer RNA (tRNA) molecules are approximately 80 nucleotides in length. The record is from RNAcentral. Lineage: Bacteria; Bacillati; Bacillota; Bacilli; Caryophanales; Bacillaceae. RNAcentral also lists the same sequence under 1 other name.
GCGCCCGUAGCUCAGUUGGAUAGAGCUAUAGAUUCCGGUUCUAUGUGUCGGGGGUUCGAAUCCUCUCGGGCGCG